This 434-nucleotide ribosomal RNA is filed under the name uncultured bacterium. RNAcentral describes it as "partial 16S ribosomal RNA". It matches the Rfam family "Bacterial small subunit ribosomal RNA", at positions 341 to 792 of the family's 1533-position model. The record is from RNAcentral.
ACGGAAGGCAGCAGUGGGGAAUAUUGCACAAUGGGGGAAACCCUGAUGCAGCGACGCCGCGUGAGCGAAGAAGUAUUUCGGUAUGUAAAGCUCUAUCAGCAGGGAAGAAAAUGACGGUACCUGACUAAGAAGCCCCGGCUAACUACGUGCCAGCAGCCGCGGUAAUACGUAGGGGGCAAGCGUUAUCCGGAUUUACUGGGUGUAAAGGGAGCGUAGACGGCAAGGUAAGUCUGAAGUGAAAUGCCGGGGCUCAACCCCGGAACUGCUUUGGAAACUAUCUCGCUCGAGGACCGGAGGGGUAAGCGGAAUUCCUAGUGUAGCGGUGAAAUGCGUAGAUAUUAGGAGGAACACCAGUGGCGAAGGCGGCUUACUGGACGGUAACUGACGUUGAGGCUCGAAAGCGUGGGGAGCAAACAGGAUUAGAUACCCUGGUA